GACAUCAUUUGUUCCCAUGGCCUUCUGGGCAAACUUCCUGAUCUCCUUGAUGGCAUUUGGUGCCUUCUUCUUGAAGGUACUGUGCACAAGAAUGAAGUUAGAAAACCAUGAGAAAGAUAGAUGAACAUUACAGCUCAAGCAACAUAGAAAUGUAAUAUAUAGAACACAAACACAAAACAAAGCAAAUGUGGAGUUCAUCUCAAUGUAGUGCCCAAAUGGAACACAUGACAGCAUAUGAAGGCAGCAAGUGUAACGAUGAGUAACAUCUAUGUACCGGACAUGUAACUGUAUCAACCACAAGUUUUAAAGACAGAUACCUGACUAUGACCGGCCAUAAUGGACUUAAGAUAAAAUGACAAUAUAGUUUCAAUGUCAAGCCCAAAUGGAACACAUGACAGCAUAUAAGGCAACAAGUGUAACGAUGAGCAACAUCUAUUUACCGGGCAUGUAACUGUAUCAACCACUAGAUUAUAGACAGAUACCUGACUAUGACCGGGCAUAAAGGACACGCUACGAUCAACUAACAAAAUAUAGUUUCAAUGUACAGCCCAAAUGGAACAUGUGGUAGCAUUGGUUGGCAACACAUGUAACGAUGAGCAACAACAUUUAUUUACCGGGCAUGUAACUGUAUCAACCACAAUUUUUAAAGACAGAUACCUGACUAUGACCGGACAUGAACAAAUAGAUUGCGAAAUCAAUUUUUAAUGUAGCGCCCAAAUGGAACACGUGAAAGCAUAUGAAGGCAACACAUGUAACGAUGAGCAACAUCAAUGUACCGGACAAGUAACUGUAUCAACCACAAUUUCAAGACAGAUACCUGACUAUGUCCGGGCACAACGCAUCAAUCAACUUACUAGGCGAACCAAGUAACUAACAAUGAUGAGCAAGGCAAAUACAAGAAUAACAAACAACAACCAUUGUUCAUCAUCAAGCAGAAAUGAUAGACAAUAUCAUGGCGAAAUAUACAGCCCAAAUGGAACACAUAUUAGCACUGAGAAAAGCCAUACGUGUAACGAUGAGCGGAGCUAAUCUCCCGGGCAUGUAACUGUGCUCAGCCACAUGAUUUAAAAGGCAGACACCUGACUAUACCCGAUUAACACCUAAUCAAGUGGCUCAGAUCGAAGAUCCAUGUGAAAAAUAUGGGAUCAGAUACAAGAGCAGCAUCCAAGAGAUCGGAAUACCGCUCGGUCAUGCGAUCCCUACUUUCAUCUAGCUGGAAGGAUUUCAUCCAUAGAGGUGUGACAGCCAUACACAAGCCCACAUAGUGCUCGCGGGCAGCAACCUUUCGCGCCAGCAUCUCCAACAGACGAGCCUGCAGGCGCCAUGGCGACACCCCGUGGAGCGCUGAGGUGGAAUCUGACUAGCGGAUCUACUGGGGUCGCGGAGCUCGGGAAUGGAGGGGGUGGGUGAGGAGGGAGGGAGGGUUAUACCAUCCGUGGAGGCGCUUGUGGAGGUUGACGGUGUACUCGCGGGUCACCACCUCGUCCUUGCGAGGGCCGGGGGCGCGCUUCUUCUCCGACAUCUCCGACGGCCUCCUUUCGCCCUGCUCCUCUCUCGGCUUCGAUGGAGGCUGCGGCGA
This 1579-nucleotide long non-coding RNA is filed under the name Hordeum vulgare. RNAcentral describes it as "long non-coding RNA (HVUL_LNC016613)". The record is from RNAcentral. Lineage: Eukaryota; Viridiplantae; Streptophyta; Magnoliopsida; Poales; Poaceae.